This 201-nucleotide ribosomal RNA is filed under the name uncultured bacterium. Its description in RNAcentral is "partial 16S ribosomal RNA". It matches the Rfam family "Bacterial small subunit ribosomal RNA", at positions 524 to 725 of the family's 1533-position model. The record is from RNAcentral.
UACGUAGGGGCUAGCGUUGUCCGGAAUCAUUGGGCGUAAAGCGCGUGUAGGCGGCCCGGUAAGUCCGCUGUGAAAGUCGGGGCUCAACCCUCGGAUGCCGGUGGAUACUGUCGGGCUCGAGUACGGAAGAGGCGAGUGGAAUUCCUGGUGUAGCGGUGAAAUGCGCAGAGUAUCAGGAGGAACACCUAUUGCGAAGGCAGC